RNAcentral lists this ribosomal RNA (246 nucleotides) under uncultured bacterium. RNAcentral describes it as "partial 16S ribosomal RNA". It matches the Rfam family "Bacterial small subunit ribosomal RNA", at positions 89 to 334 of the family's 1533-position model. The record is from RNAcentral.
UGGCGACCGGCGCACGGGUGAGUAACGCGUAUGCAACUUACCUAUCAGAGGGGGAUAGCCCGGCGAAGGUCGGAUUAAUACCCCAUGAAACAGGGGUCCCGCAUGGGAAUAUUUGUUAAAGAUUCAUCGCUGAUAGAUAGGCAUGCGUUCCAUUAGGCAGUUGGCGGGGUAACGGCCCACCAAACCGACGAUGGAUAGGGGUUCUGAGAGGAAGGUCCCCCACAUUGGUACUGAGACACGGACCAA